Molecule: ribosomal RNA, 373 nt
Filed under: uncultured organism
Description: partial 16S ribosomal RNA
Rfam family: Bacterial small subunit ribosomal RNA
Source: RNAcentral
GUAGGUGGCAAGCGUUGUCCGGAAUUAUUGGGCGUAAAGCGCGCGCAGGCGGUUCUUUAAGUCUGAUGUGAAAGCCCACGGCUCAACCGUGGAGGGUCAUUGGAAACUGGAGAACUUGAGUACAGAAGAGGAAAGCGGAAUUCCACGUGUAGCGGUGAAAUGCGUAGAGAUGUGGAGGAACACCAGUGGCGAAGGCGGCUUUCUGGUCUGUAACUGACGCUGAGGCGCGAAAGCGUGGGGAGCAAACAGGAUUAGAUACCCUGGUAGUCCACGCCGUAAACGAUGAGUGCUAAGUGUAGGGGGGUUUUCCGCCCCCCUUAGUGCUGCAGCUAACGCAUUAAGCACUCCGCCUGGGAGUACGGCCGCAAGGCUG